AGAGUUUGAUCAUGGCUCAGAUUGAACGCUGGCGGCAGGCCUAACACAUGCAAGUCGAACGGUAACAGGAAGCAGCUUGCUGCUUUGCUGACGAGUGGCGGACGGGUGAGUAAUGUCUGGGAAACUGCCCGAUGGAGGGGGAUAACUACUGGAAACGGUGGCUAAUACCGCAUAACGUCGCAAGACCAAAGAGGGGGACCUUCGGGCCUCUUGCCAUCAGAUGUGCCCAGAUGGGAUUAGCUUGUUGGUGAGGUAACGGCUCACCAAGGCGACGAUCCCUAGCUGGUCUGAGAGGAUGACCAGCCACACUGGAACUGAGACACGGUCCAGACUCCUACGGGAGGCAGCAGUGGGGAAUAUUGCACAAUGGGCGCAAGCCUGAUGCAGCCAUGCCGCGUGUAUGAAGAAGGCCUUCGGGUUGUAAAGUACUUUCAGCGGGGAGGAAGGUGUUGUGGUUAAUAACCGCAGCAAUUGACGUUACCCGCAGAAGAAGCACCGGCUAACUCCGUGCCAGCAGCCGCGGUAAUACGGAGGGUGCAAGCGUUAAUCGGAAUUACUGGGCGUAAAGCGCACGCAGGCGGUCUGUCAAGUCGGAUGUGAAAUCCCCGGGCUCAACCUGGGAACUGCAUUCGAAACUGGCAGGCUUGAGUCUUGUAGAGGGGGGUAGAAUUCCAGGUGUAGCGGUGAAAUGCGUAGAGAUCUGGAGGAAUACCGGUGGCGAAGGCGGCCCCCUGGACAAAGACUGACGCUCAGGUGCGAAAGCGUGGGGAGCAAACAGGAUUAGAUACCCUGGUAGUCCACGCCGUAAACGAUGUCUACUUGGAGGUUGUGCCCUUGAGGCGUGGCUUCCGGAGCUAACGCGUUAAGUAGACCGCCUGGGGAGUACGGCCGCAAGGUUAAAACUCAAAUGAAUUGACGGGGGCCCGCACAAGCGGUGGAGCAUGUGGUUUAAUUCGAUGCAACGCGAAGAACCUUACCUGGUCUUGACAUCCACGGAAGUUUUCAGAGAUGAGAAUGUGCCUUCGGGAACCGUGAGACAGGUGCUGCAUGGCUGUCGUCAGCUCGUGUUGUGAAAUGUUGGGUUAAGUCCCGCAACGAGCGCAACCCUUAUCCUUUGUUGCCAGCGGUCCGGCCGGGAACUCAAAGGAGACUGCCAGUGAUAAACUGGAGGAAGGUGGGGAUGACGUCAAGUCAUCAUGGCCCUUACGACCAGGGCUACACACGUGCUACAAUGGCGCAUACAAAGAGAAGCGACCUCGCGAGAGCAAGCGGACCUCAUAAAGUGCGUCGUAGUCCGGAUUGGAGUCUGCAACUCGACUCCAUGAAGUCGGAAUCGCUAGUAAUCGUGGAUCAGAAUGCCACGGUGAAUACGUUCCCGGGCCUUGUACACACCGCCCGUCACACCAUGGGAGUGGGUUGCAAAAGAAGUAGGUAGCUUAACCUUCGGGAGGGCGCUUACCACUUUGUGAUUCAUGACUGGGGUGAAGUCGUAACAAGGUAACCGUAGGGGAACCUGCGGUUGGAUCACCUCCUU
This 1534-nucleotide ribosomal RNA is filed under the name Salmonella enterica subsp. enterica serovar Schwarzengrund str. CVM19633. RNAcentral's name for it is "bacterial SSU rRNA". It matches the Rfam family "Bacterial small subunit ribosomal RNA". Lineage: Bacteria; Pseudomonadati; Pseudomonadota; Gammaproteobacteria; Enterobacterales; Enterobacteriaceae. The record is from RNAcentral.